Molecule: unclassified non-coding RNA, 191 nt
Filed under: uncultured Russula
Lineage: Eukaryota; Fungi; Basidiomycota; Agaricomycetes; Russulales; Russulaceae
Description: sequence contains ITS1
Source: RNAcentral
UCGUAAAACCGAGGUGCAAGGGCUGUCGCUGACCUUCCAAAGGUCGUGCACGCCCGAGCGCUCUCACCACAAUCCAUCUCACCCCUUUGUGCAUCACCGCGUGGGUCCCCCUUUGCUGGAAGGGCUCGCGUUUUCACAUAAAACUUGACACAGUCUAGAAUGUUUAUUUUUGCGGUAACACGCAAUCAAUA